ACCAGGUCCAACACCACGUCCACCACCAUAUUCACCACCACAUCCAGCACCAUGUCCAGCACCAUAUCCACCACCAGGUCCAAUACCAUAUCCACCACCAUGUCCACCACCACAUACACCACCAGGUCCAACACCACAUCCAACACCACAUCAAAGACCACAUACACCACCACAUCCAACACCAGGUCCAACACCACAUCCAACACUUCAUACACACCAGGUCCAAUACCACAUACACCACCAAGUCCAACACUACAUACACCACCAGGUCCACCACCACAUCCAACACCACAGCCAACACCACAUACAAGACCACAUACACCACCACGUCCAACACCACAUCCAACACCACAUCAAAGACCACAUACACCACCACAUCCAACACCAGGUCCAACACCACAUCCAACACUUCAUACACACCAGGUCCAAUACCACAUACACCACCAAGUCCAACACCA
Ictalurus punctatus (channel catfish) is the source of this 458-nucleotide long non-coding RNA. The record is from Ensembl. NCBI's taxonomy places the organism in Eukaryota, Metazoa, Chordata, Actinopteri, Siluriformes, Ictaluridae.